Long non-coding RNA from Dipodomys spectabilis (banner-tailed kangaroo rat), 101 nucleotides. RefSeq lists it as uncharacterized. The record is from RefSeq and is a predicted model, not a curated record. The transcript is spliced from 4 exons. Lineage: Eukaryota; Metazoa; Chordata; Mammalia; Rodentia; Heteromyidae.
UUUUAUCACCUUGAUAGUCGACAGUUUGCUGAUACUCGCCCCAGGAAGCAUCAGUGUUGCUGAUAGUGUUACCGAUCAGUGGUUAAAUUCUGAAGAGAAAU